UGGUUACAACGAAUGGCAGUGCCUGUUUUUCCCUUGGGGUACAGUAUGUUUCACUUUCUGCAAUAAUAAAAACUGUUUUAAAAGCCAAGAAAUCCUUUAUU
Molecule: non-coding RNA, 101 nt
Organism: Chelonoidis abingdonii (Abingdon island giant tortoise)
Lineage: Eukaryota; Metazoa; Chordata; Testudines; Testudinidae
Source: RefSeq, a predicted model, not a curated record